CAAAUGAGGAACUGUCACCGUGCAGGGAACAGCUGUUUUCUGUGGCAGAUGGGAAGAAGGGAUGUGGCCAAUGACAAUUAUCCCUUAAAGCUGUCCCCCAGAAUUGACACGUCACUUCUGCUCCUACCUCUUUGAAUGAACUAGUCUCAUGCCCAUGCUGACUCCAAGGGGCCAAGAGAUGCAAUCCAACUGUCUGACUGGGACGAACCAGCGGGACGUCUGGUUCGAGCAGCACUUGGGUUUACAGUCUGUGCGCAGAAGCGUGAGAGAUGACAUGGGACUGAGAUUGCAAGCAAGGAAUUGAUCGACAGGAUGACACAUUAAUGAGGACAUCGGCGGACGGGUGGCUCACUGGAGAGGAGGAACGAGGAGGG
This 374-nucleotide long non-coding RNA is filed under the name Equus asinus (donkey). Its description in RNAcentral is "lncRNA (ENSEASG00005036251.1)". Lineage: Eukaryota; Metazoa; Chordata; Mammalia; Perissodactyla; Equidae. The record is from RNAcentral.